RNAcentral lists this long non-coding RNA (558 nucleotides) under Brassica napus (rape). Its description in RNAcentral is "long non-coding RNA (BNAP_LNC022018)". The record is from RNAcentral. Lineage: Eukaryota; Viridiplantae; Streptophyta; Magnoliopsida; Brassicales; Brassicaceae.
AUUAAUCAAAUAGUAAUUAAAUAGAUAAAAUUAUAUAUUUUCAUUAAAGUUUCCUAAUUUGAUUUCAUGUAUAAUAUUACAGCAAACAAAAAAUAUUACACAUUAUAAUAUGUCUUAACAAAAAUUAUUAGAAAAAAUUGAAGAUGAUUAUGUUUGGUCCAUAUUAUUAGGAAACUGCAUAGAAGAUGGUUACGUUAUUAGUUAACCUGUAUCAUUAUUUAAUUUUUGUUUUUGUUUGAUUAAAUAAAAUUUAUGGAUGCAGUUACAAAAAGCAGCAGCCGAUAAAUAGGCAAUAUAAGUGAUGGUUACCUCCACAUUCUAUAUUUUAAUUUUGAUGCAGUUAUAUUAAAAAGUAUGCAUAAUUAAAAUUUUAAGUCAGACUCAACUAUUAUCAAUUGAGCAUGUUACUAAUUUAAUAGUAUUGAUUUAAAAUAAAAGUAACAAAUUAAUAUGUAAAAGACAAAGAGACAAUGUGUUGAAUAUACCCAAUUAAAGUCCAAAUUAGUUGAAUGCCCAUGAUUAUGGAUAACCGAAAAAGUAGUAACCUUUUGACACUGU